Molecule: ribosomal RNA, 465 nt
Filed under: uncultured bacterium
Lineage: Bacteria
Description: partial 16S ribosomal RNA
Rfam family: Bacterial small subunit ribosomal RNA
Source: RNAcentral
CCUACGGGUGGCAGCAGUGGGGAAUUUUGGACAAUGGGCGCAAGCCUGAUCCAGCUAUUCCGCGUGUGGGAAGACGGCCUUCGGGUUGUAAACCACUUUUGUAGCGAACGAAAAGUCUGUUGAUAAUACCGAUAGAUGAUGACGGUACUCUACGAAUAAGCACCGGCUAACUACGUGCCAGCAGCCGCGGUAAUACGUAGGGUGCGAGCGUUAAUCGGAAUUACUGGGCGUAAAGGGUGUGCAGGCGGUUUUGCAAGAUGGAUGUGAAAGCCCCGGGCUUAACCUGGGAAAGCCAUACAUGACUGCAAGACUAGAGUGCGUCAGGGGGGGGUGGAAUUCCAAGUGUAGCAGUGAAAUGCGUAGAUAUUUGGAAGAACACCGAUUGCGAAGGCAGCUUACCAAACUACGACUGACGUGGAGGCACGAAAGCGUGGGGAGCAAACAGGAUUAGAUACCCCAGUAGUC